CUGGGUUCUGUUGUUGGCAACCAACAGAGUUGUUGUCUUUUCUCGCAUUCAUUAAAAUGCACAAGAAGAAAUUUCUAAUGGUGAGGGAGUACUUGCUUCAAAUUCAUACUUCAGUGAAAUAAACAACACCAUACAUAGGAAUGUGAAAGCAAAGUCAUCAUACACUGUUUGCUUCAUUGUAUGAGAAUCAAUGUUUGCAUGAUAAACUGCCCUAAUGGAAGAGGACUCUGAGUUACCUUUUUCGAGCAAAGCCACCUAGGUUACUCUGUUUUCCCCAGAGUGACCCUUCUGUUCUGCAAAUUUUCAGAUUGAAGGGAGUAGCAGUAGAGUAUCAGAAGUAUCAGAAGCAAAAAAGUAAAUGUAUGAUUUGCAAAGCAUAACAAAAUGAAAAAUAAGCUUCUGCAGUCAUGGAAGUUCAGAAUUGGAUAACAACUUAGAUUAUUUAUUCCAACCUCAUCGAAAAAGAGAUAAAGACAUGGAAUUCAGGAAAAGUGAAAUCUACUUAAAUGUACCAAUCACAGCAGAGUCUUUUGGAACUUAAACAUCUUGACUCUUCUGUUUAAAGCCUAAAUCAACCUGAGAGAAGAGAUGAAACAACUGAGGGCCAAAAAGUUUACAAAAUUUUCCAAGAUCAUACAGCUAAUUAACAACAUCUGGGCUCUUCUUGACUUUUGGAAUCCAAUCAGAUAACCUCAAAGUAAUGGGAGAAGAUACACAAGUGAUCAUUGCCAGGACUGAAGACUGUUCCUAGGACUACUAUUUGGAUCAACAGAAGCUGAAAAUGAGAAUAUCAAAGGCUGGGCAGAUAGUUUCACUCACGGGCAUUGAUCAGGAUGGCUGGAGGUCACCUGCUGCAAGAAGCACUGUGUUUUCUGUGCAGCUUAAUGAGAGGGAGCAUAUCAUUUCAGGACUCUCACAGGAUGCAGUGUUACUGAGAAUCUCAUGAGGCAAAUCCUAAAUGCCAGGAUAAAUUUGCAGAGAUAGAACUACUACUUUUUUUUUUUAAAUUUCCUUUUGUUAUGACUUGAACGUGUAAGGUCAUGCUUCGAGCCUGCUAUCCUAUAGCUCUCAAUUCUAAACUAGUUGCAAGUAUAUUGGACUUCUUGCCCUGACCCCUGUCCCUUUGAUAGGCCAGGUGAAUCCAAAUAUGCCCGAGUGCAUCUCACAGAAUACAUCUGAUUCUAGGAUGGGACUAGAGGUCUCCUGGUAUUUAGAACUGCAAAAUGAGGUAGCAAAAGCUCUAGUCAUAUGCCUCCCAUUUAUUUGACAUAUCAUCACAAACAUGUCCAUAAUUUACCAAGGUUGAUCCACUGCCUACUACAUUUGUGUGUGAAAAUGUGUCAUGCUUUGUGGAAAAAGUGAAAAUAGUUAUCUGUAUGGUGGGUGCACUUUGAGUGACUGGGGUGGGGUAUGAGCACUGUCUUACAAAAAAGUCAAGAGUAAUAUCUGACAAAGAUACUGUCCUUUACCCUGGAUACCAACAGAUGUUCUUGUUUUCAUUCAAAAUUACAAUUAUCAUUGAAGUGCACAGUGGCUUUUAAUUGAGACAGAUAAAACGUAACUUCAAGUAUUGAAGUAAUUUUUUUUUACUGUUUUUAAGACAACUGAAGAUCUGAGCAAUUCUUGGCAUGACUUUUCUCCAUUCAGUUUAGAUUUUUGUGAUAAAAGGCGACUAUAAUAAAGAGAAUGGUAAAGGAAAAUAUCUAACAUGGAAUUUAUAUCUAAUCUUCUUGAAAGUUAUGAACACUUGUUAAUCCUUAAUUUCAACUCUUGAGAUUUCAUCUGAUUUGAGAUAUUCCUUUGAACAUUCAGAGUAUAAAAUGUUUCAUAUGUGGUGAAGGAAUCCUAAUUUUCCUAUUAUACUAUAAGAAUGAAACAGGUGGCAAAUAAAUUAAACAACGGUAUGCAAUCUAUUAUUCAGUAGGUUCAGUUAAACCACCCUAUUCUCUAAAGGUCAUGCCUUCCUUGUGAAAUAUGUUGAAUUAAAGCUUUCCUUACCAACUGAGGCACAACCUAAGAAGAGUUAAUUUACAAUUUUUAUCCUGGGUUUCAAGGAACUUACAUAUGAUUUGUCAAUUUAUAAGAAGAAAACAAAUUCCCUGAAAUACACUUCCUUUUUAACUAACAAAAUUAAAUCAUAGGCAUAAUUUUGUAGCAAAAUCAUCAAAUCUUACAAAUAUAUUCUACAUCAUGGACGUCAUCUUCUCUUUAUAAUGACUCUAAUGCUGAUGGACAUUCAGUGUUCUUAAAACUUCCUUACACAUAAAAAUAAACAACAAUAAGAAAGAUACUCAUCUAUUCCUCUCAAAUAGCUGCUUCAGAACUUCUAGGAAGCUUGGAAACAUGAAAAAAUCUUUCCAACUUAAAAGAAAGCAAACUCUCCCACAUUUAUUUCCUUUUGGGCCAGUUUUAGGCAAAGCGAUGCUCUUUAAUCCUUGGAGCAUCUGGUGUCAACCUAAAUUAAUUUUUAUCUUACCUGAGUUUUGAAAGGAAUAGUUUACCUAAAUGAUUAAGAAAUAUGCUCUCAUAUGGCCAUAUAUUCCUUACAUAGGAAAAUGAUGGGGUCUAAAAAUUAUGACACACACACACACUCCCCACUACACACACACACACACACUCCCCCCUACACACACACACACACACACACACACACAUCCUGAUCAUCAGUGCAAAACCGUCCAGCCAAAAGGAGUUCAAUUUUAAGAGAAACUGAAGUUUGGUAGACUAUAUCAUUAUAAAUCCAGAAACAUUCUAUUUUGUAAACAUUGAGAAAAAAUUUAUAAGAUCAUC
RNAcentral lists this long non-coding RNA (2790 nucleotides) under Homo sapiens (human). Its description in RNAcentral is "HSALNT0313000". Lineage: Eukaryota; Metazoa; Chordata; Mammalia; Primates; Hominidae. The record is from RNAcentral.